RNAcentral lists this transfer RNA (62 nucleotides) under Enoplops sibiricus. Its description in RNAcentral is "tRNA-Arg". Lineage: Eukaryota; Metazoa; Arthropoda; Insecta; Hemiptera; Coreidae. The record is from RNAcentral.
AAGUAAUGAAGUAACAAUUACAUUUAGUUUCGACCUAAAAUUAGAGAUUUUCUCCUUACUUA